GACGAACGCUGGCGGCGUGCUUAACACAUGCAAGUCGAACGGAAAGGCCCUGCUUGCAGGGUACUCGAGUGGCGAACGGGUGAGUAACACGUGGGUGAUCUGCCCUGCACUUCGGGAUAAGCCUGGGAGACUGGGUCCAUACCCGGAUAGGAGCCACUUUUAGCGUGUUGGUUGGAAAGUUUUUUCGGUGUAGGAUGAGCUCGCGGCCUAUCGGCUUGUUGGUGGGUUAAUGGGCUACCAAGGCGGCGACGGGUAGCCGGACUGUGUGGGUGGACGGCGGCAUUGGGUCUGACGUGCGGCCCAGGCUCCUACGGGAGGCAGCAGUGGGGAAUAUUGCACAAGGGGCGCCAGCCUGAUGCAGAGACGCUGCGGGUGGGAUGACGGCCUUCGGGUUGUAAACUCCUUUCGCGAGGGACGAAGCUUUUUGUGACGGUACCUAGAUAAGAAGCACCGGCUAACUACGUG
This 465-nucleotide ribosomal RNA is filed under the name uncultured bacterium. RNAcentral's name for it is "partial 16S ribosomal RNA". It matches the Rfam family "Bacterial small subunit ribosomal RNA", at positions 28 to 507 of the family's 1533-position model. The record is from RNAcentral.